CUGCGGUGAAUACGUUCCCGGGUCUUGUACACACCGCCCGUCAAACCAUGAAAGCGACCAACACCCGAAGUCCGAUUCGUCGGCCUAAGGUGGGGGGCAUGAUUGGGGUU
This 110-nucleotide ribosomal RNA is filed under the name uncultured bacterium. Its description in RNAcentral is "partial 16S ribosomal RNA". It matches the Rfam family "Bacterial small subunit ribosomal RNA", at positions 1357 to 1482 of the family's 1533-position model. The record is from RNAcentral.